UCCGGAGGGUGCAAGCGUUAUCCGGAUUCACUGGGUUUAAAGGGUGCGUAGGCGGGCAUUUAAGUCAGUGGUGAAAUACCUGAGCUUAACUUGGGAAUUGCCAUUGAUACUAUUUGUCUUGAAUGUCGUGGAGGUUAGCGGAAUAUGUCAUGUAGCGGUGAAAUGCUUAGAUAUGACAUAGAACACCUAUUGCGAAGGCAGCUAACUACGCGAAUAUUGACGCUGAGGCACGAAAGCGUGGGGAUCAAACAGG
Molecule: ribosomal RNA, 253 nt
Filed under: uncultured bacterium
Lineage: Bacteria
Description: partial 16S ribosomal RNA
Rfam family: Bacterial small subunit ribosomal RNA
Source: RNAcentral